AUUGACGUAUGUAGUCAUGGUAACAUUAUAGAUGAACUGGAAACCAAGAAACAGCAAAUCAUAGAAUUGGAAAUGACACUUGAUUAUCGAGUCAAAACAUUGGAGGCUGAUUUGGAACAGUCGGAAGCUAAUAUUGCAGCACUGAAGGAAACAAACGAAGCACUGGUUCAAAACAAAAAUGAUGCAUUGGCACACAGUGAUGAAGUGGAGCAUGAAGUCAUCCAGUUACAGG
Saccoglossus kowalevskii is the source of this 232-nucleotide long non-coding RNA. NCBI's taxonomy places the organism in Eukaryota, Metazoa, Hemichordata, Enteropneusta, Harrimaniidae. The record is from RefSeq and is a predicted model, not a curated record.